RNAcentral lists this ribosomal RNA (120 nucleotides) under Helianthus annuus (common sunflower). The record is from RNAcentral. Lineage: Eukaryota; Viridiplantae; Streptophyta; Magnoliopsida; Asterales; Asteraceae.
GGUUGCGAUCAUACCAGCACUAAUGCACCGGAUCCCAUCACAACUCCGCAGUUAAGCGUGCUUGGGCGAGAGUAGUACUAGGAUGGGUGACCCCCUGGGAAGUCCUCGUGUUGCAACCCC